CAGAAUGUAGUGUAAAGGAAACAGAGAAUUUUGAGUUCUGAGAUGUAGGUACAAUCCCUAUUAUUCUAG
RNAcentral lists this transfer RNA (69 nucleotides) under Monodelphis domestica (gray short-tailed opossum). It matches the Rfam family "tRNA". Rfam says of the family: Transfer RNA (tRNA) molecules are approximately 80 nucleotides in length. Their secondary structure includes four short double-helical elements and three loops (D, anti-codon, and T loops). The record is from Rfam by way of RNAcentral. Lineage: Eukaryota; Metazoa; Chordata; Mammalia; Didelphimorphia; Didelphidae.